GUCACUUUGCCGGAGUGGUUAACGGGAUCGCCUGCUACCUGAUCCAUGGUUUGCAUCUAGCGGUUGUGCUUUGCACGCGUGUGUUCGAAUCGCACAGGUGACG
Pterulicium gracile is the source of this 103-nucleotide non-coding RNA. Lineage: Eukaryota; Fungi; Basidiomycota; Agaricomycetes; Agaricales; Pterulaceae. The record is from the annotation of a GenBank genome assembly.